This 460-nucleotide ribosomal RNA is filed under the name uncultured bacterium. Its description in RNAcentral is "partial 16S ribosomal RNA". It matches the Rfam family "Bacterial small subunit ribosomal RNA", at positions 338 to 795 of the family's 1533-position model. The record is from RNAcentral.
CCUACGGGUGACUGCAGUGAGGAAUAUUGGUCAAUGGACGAGAGUCUGAACCAGCCAAGUAGCGUGAAGGAUGACUGCCCUAUGGGUUGUAACCUUCUUUUAUAUGGGAAUAAAAUGUUCCACGUGUGGGAUUUUGUAUGUACCAUAUGAAUACGGAUCGGCUAACUCCGUGCCAGCAGCCGCGGUAAUACGGAGGAUCCGAGCGUUAUCCGGAUUUAGUGGGUGUAAAGGGAGCGUAGGUGGAUUGUUAAGUCAGUUGUGAAAGUUUGAGGCUCAACCGUAAAACUGCAGUUGAAACUGGCAGUCUUGAGUACAGUAGAGGUGGGCGGAAUUCGUGGUGUAGCGGUGAAAUGCUUAGAUAUCAAGAAGAACGCAGAUUGCGAAGGCAGCUCACUGGACUGCAACUGACACUGAGGCUCGAAAGUGUGGGUAUCAAACAGGAUUAGAUACCCGAGUAGUC